GAUAAGUGUCUAAUUUCAGUAAUAUUUCAUAUUAAAAUAUAGGCACUUAUGAGGAUUUAUUGCUAAUUUACAUAUAAAAUAAUCCCUAAUUUAUGAAUUUAUACCUUUUUACAUUUUUUAUGAUCUUUAUUUGAAUAAGAGUAUUUUAUUCUCAAAUUUGGUGUUAAUUGCAGAUUUCUAAGGAAGAUUGGAGAUUUGAAUUAAAGAUGAAUGAUUUGAGCUAAAAAGAUAAAGAUAGAAGGUCCCAGAAUGGAAAAAGAUGCAAAGANNN
This 271-nucleotide long non-coding RNA is filed under the name Phaseolus vulgaris (common bean). RNAcentral describes it as "long non-coding RNA (PVUL_LNC005222)". Lineage: Eukaryota; Viridiplantae; Streptophyta; Magnoliopsida; Fabales; Fabaceae. The record is from RNAcentral.